This is a long non-coding RNA of Heterocephalus glaber (naked mole-rat), 368 nucleotides long. The record is from Ensembl. Lineage: Eukaryota; Metazoa; Chordata; Mammalia; Rodentia; Bathyergidae.
AACUGAAGCCCACUGGAAAAGUGAGGAUAAUCUCUACAAUAAAGACACACCAGACCACUGUACUUGGGCCCAAGGAAACAGGGUGAAGAUGGUGCUGAGUAUUUGAAGGCCCAAGGUGGACCAGCUCCAUGAAGAUCGACAUGUGUAGGAGCCACCUUUUCACCUCACAUGAGGAAGAGACGUUCUAACCAUACAAGGUGUCCAAGGAACCCUUCUCUUUGGAAUCUGAUUGAAGCAAGAGCCCACAGGGAUUUAAUGAUCAUCUAUGCAAUGAUAUUCAUGGCAAGUCUCCAACCAAGUCCCCAAUUAAAAUCCAAACAAAAAGGGGAGGGGACACAACCAGGGACUGAGUUAAUAAAAGGAGUUAU